UACGGAGGGCGCAAGCGUUGUUCGGAAUUACUGGGCGUAAAGCGCAUGCAGGUGGCUGAGUAAGUCGAAUGUGAAAGCCCCAGGCUCAACCUGGGAACUGCAUCCGAAACUGCUUGGCUAGAGUCCCGGAGAGGAAGGCAGAAUUCCCAAUGUAGGGGUGAAAUCCGUAGAUAUUGGGAGGAGUACCGGUGGCGAAGGCGGCCUUCUGGACGGUGACUGACACUCAGAUGCGAAAGCGUGGGGAGCAAACAGG
RNAcentral lists this ribosomal RNA (253 nucleotides) under uncultured bacterium. Its description in RNAcentral is "partial 16S ribosomal RNA". It matches the Rfam family "Bacterial small subunit ribosomal RNA", at positions 524 to 776 of the family's 1533-position model. The record is from RNAcentral.